GAGAGUAUAGCUCAAGUGGUAGAGUGCAUGCUUAGCAUGCAUGAGGUCCUGGGUUCAAUCCUCAGUACCUUCU
This 73-nucleotide transfer RNA is filed under the name Camelus bactrianus (Bactrian camel). It matches the Rfam family "tRNA". From Rfam's summary of the family: Transfer RNA (tRNA) molecules are approximately 80 nucleotides in length. Their secondary structure includes four short double-helical elements and three loops (D, anti-codon, and T loops). Further hydrogen bonds mediate the characteristic L-shaped molecular structure. tRNAs have two regions of fundamental functional importance: the anti-codon, which is responsible for specific mRNA codon recognition, and the 3' end, to which the tRNAs corresponding amino acid is attached (by aminoacyl-tRNA synthetases). tRNAs cope with the degeneracy of the genetic code in two manners: having more than one tRNA (with a specific anti-codon) for a particular amino acid; and 'wobble' base-pairing, i.e. permitting non-standard base-pairing at the 3rd anti-codon position. The record is from Rfam by way of RNAcentral. Lineage: Eukaryota; Metazoa; Chordata; Mammalia; Artiodactyla; Camelidae. RNAcentral also lists the same sequence under 2 other names.